This 18-nucleotide small nuclear RNA is filed under the name Arabidopsis thaliana (thale cress). Its description in RNAcentral is "snRNA_08178". Lineage: Eukaryota; Viridiplantae; Streptophyta; Magnoliopsida; Brassicales; Brassicaceae. The record is from RNAcentral.
GGCGGGUCGAUCCGGGCG